This 1942-nucleotide ribosomal RNA is filed under the name groundwater metagenome. Its description in RNAcentral is "bacterial LSU rRNA". It matches the Rfam family "Bacterial large subunit ribosomal RNA", at positions 497 to 2541 of the family's 2925-position model. The record is from RNAcentral.
AGUACCGUGAGGGAAAGGUGAAAAGCACCCCGACGAGGGGAGUGAAAAAGACCUGAAACCGAAUGCCUACAAGCAGUCGGAGCCCGCAAGGGUGACGGCGUACCUUUUGUAUAAUGGGUCAGCGAGUUCGUCUGUGCAGCAAGCUUAAGCCGAUAGGCGUAGGCGAAGCGAAAGCGAGUCUGAAUAGGGCGAUUAAGUUGCACGGAUGAGACCCGAAACCGGGUGAUCUAGCCAUGGACAGGUUGAAGGUACGGUAACACGUACUGGAGGACCGAACCCACGCCUGUUGAAAAAGUCGGGGAUGAUCUGUGGUUAGGGGUGAAAGGCCAAUCAAACUCGGAAAUAGCUGGUUCUCCGCGAAAUCUAUUUAGGUAGAGCGUCGGACGUAUCGCCAUCGGGGGUAGAGCACCGGAUGGGCUAGGGGGGAGCGAUCCUUACCAAACCUAACCGAACUCCGAAUACCGAUGAGCGUAAUCCGGCUAGGCAGGCGGCGGGUGCUAAGAUCCGUCGCCGAGAGGGAAAUAGCCCAGACCGCCAGCUAAGGCCCCUAAAUCGUGGCUAAGUGUGAAAGGAUGUGGGAAGGCCAAGACAACCAGGAGGUUGGCUUAGAAGCAGCCAUCCUUUAAAGAAAGCGUAAUAGCUCACUGGUCUAGUCAAGCCAGCCUGCGCCGAAAAUGUAUCGGGGCUCAAGCCACGUGCCGAAGCUGCGGGUGUGUCCAGGGUAGCGUCCCAGGGCACGCGGUAGCGGAGCGUUCCGUAAGCCCGUGAAGGGAAUGGGCGACCAUUCCUGGAGGUAUCGGAAGUGCGAAUGCUGACAUGAGUAGCGAAAAGGAGUGUGAGAAACACUCCCGCCGAAAGUCCAAGGGUUCCUCGGCAAGGCUAAUCCGCCGAGGGUGAGCCGGCCCCUAAGAUGAGGGCGAAAGCCGUAAUCGAUGGGAACCAGGUUAAUAGUCCUGGGCCUGCCAGUGGUGACGAAUGGUGUAUGUCGUUGGGGCUUAUCGGAUUGCCCCGGCGGCGAAGCCGUUCCAGGAAAUAACCCUGGCGUAUAGACCGUACCCCAAACCGACACAGGUGGACUGGUAGAGUAUACCAAGGCGUUUGAGAGAACGGUGUUGAAGGAACUCGGCAAAUUGCUCGCGUAACUUCGGGAUAAGCGAGGCCUGCCCGCGCGCAAGCGUGGACGGGUGGCACAGAGCAGGGGGUAGCGACUGUUUACUAAAAACACAGGGCUCUGCGAACGCGUCUAGCGGACGUAUAGGGUCUGACGCCUGCCCGGUGCCGGAAGGUUAAGAGGAGAGGUGCAAGCCUUGAAUCGAAGCCCCGGUAAACGGCGGCCGUAACUAUAACGGUCCUAAGGUAGCGAAAUUCCUUGUCGGGUAAGUUCCGACCUGCACGAAUGGCGUAACGACUUCCCCACUGUCUCCAACACCGGCUCAGCGAAAUUGAAUUCUCCGUGAAGAUGCGGAGUACCCGCGGUUAGACGGAAAGACCCCGUGCACCUUUACUAUAGCUUUGCAGUGGCAUUAGGGAGCGGAUGUGUAGGAUAGGCGGGAGCCUAGGAAGCAUUGGCGCUAGCCAGUGUGGAGGCAACCUUGAAAUACCGCCCUUUUGUUCUCUGAUCUCUAACUGUGAUCCGUAAUCCGGAUCCGGGACCCUGCAUGGCGGGUAGUUUGACUGGGGCGGUCGCCUCCCAAAGAGUAACGGAGGCGCGCGAUGGUGGGCUCAAGCUGGUCGGACAUCAGCUGGUGAGUGCAAUGGCAUAAGCCCGCCUGACUGCGAGACUGACAAGUCGAGCAGAGACGAAAGUCGGUCAUAGUGAUCCGGUGGUUCCACGUGGAAGGGCCAUCGCUCAACGAAUAAAAGGUACGCCGGGGAUAACAGGCUGAUGACGCCCAAGAGUCCAUAUCGACGGCGUCGUUUGGCACCUCGAUGUCGGCUCAUC